UGAAGAGUUUGAUCAUGGCUCAGAUUGAACGCUGGCGGCAGGCCUAACACAUGCAAGUCGAACGGAAACAUGUCUAGCUUGCUAGAUGAUGUCGAGUGGCGGACGGGUGAGUAAUGCCUGGGAAUUUGCCUUUGUGUGGGGGAUAACUAUUGGAAACGAUAGCUAAUACCGCAUAAUGUCUACGGACCAAAGGGGGCUUUUAGCUCUCGCGUAAAGAGCAGCCCAAGCGAGAUUAGCUAGUUGGUGUGGUAAAGGCUCACCAAGGCGACGAUCUCUAGCUGUUCUGAGAGGAAGAUCAGCCACACUGGAACUGAGACACGGUCCAGA
Molecule: ribosomal RNA, 327 nt
Filed under: Schmidingerella taraikaensis
Lineage: Eukaryota; Ciliophora; Spirotrichea; Tintinnida; Rhabdonellidae
Description: partial Bacterial small subunit ribosomal RNA
Rfam family: Bacterial small subunit ribosomal RNA
Source: RNAcentral